Molecule: ribosomal RNA, 925 nt
Filed under: uncultured archaeon
Lineage: Archaea
Description: bacterial SSU rRNA
Rfam family: Archaeal small subunit ribosomal RNA
Source: RNAcentral
CCCCACUGCUAUCGGGAUGGGACUAAGACAUGCUAGUCGAGCGUCUCCAAGCUAUGGAAGAGACGCGGCACACAGCUCAGUAACACGUGGCUAACCUGCCCUUGGGACAAGGACAACUCCGGGAAACUGGGGCUAAUCCCUGAUAAGUGGGAACUCCUGGAAUGGAUUCUCGCUCAAAGGACGUUUAGACCAUGCUUCUAGGCGUCGCCCAAGGAGGGGGCCGCGACCGAUCAGGUUGUUGGUGAGGUAACGGCUCACCAAGCCUUUAACCGGUACGGGCCGUGAGAGCGGAAGCCCGGAGAUGGGCACUGAGACAAGGGCCCAGGCCCUACGGGGCGCAGCAGUCGCGAAAACUCCGCAAUACACGAAAGUGUGACGGGGCCAUCCCGAGUGCCAUCCGCUGAGGAUGGCUUUUCCCCAGUGUAUAAAGCUGGGGGAAUAAGGAGAGGGCAAGCCUGGUGUCAGCCGCCGCGGUAAUACCAGCUCUCCGAGUGGUGGGGAUGUUUAUUGGGCCUAAAGCAUUCGUAGCCUGCUUGGCAAGUCCUCCGUUAAAUCCAACGAUUCAAUCGUUGGGCUGCGGGGGAUACUGUCCAGCUAGGGGGCGGGAGAGGCCGACGGUAUCCCCGGGGUAGGGGUGAAAUCCUAUAAUCCCGGGAGGACCACCAGUGGCGAAGGCUGUCGGCUAGAACGCGCUCGACGGUGAGGGAUGAAAGCUGGGGGAGCGAACCGGAUUAGAUACUCGGGUAGUCCCAGCUGUAAACGAUGCAGGCUAGGUGUUGGCGCGGCUACGUGCCGCUCCAGUGCCGCAGGGAAGCCGUUAAGCCUGCCGCCUGGGAAGUACGGCCGCAAGGCUGAAACUUAAAGGAAUUGGCGGGGGAGCACCACAAGGUGUGAAGCUUGCGGUUUAAUUGGAUUCAACGCCGGA